GACGAACGCUGGCGGCGUGCUUAACACAUGCAAGUCGAACGGGGCGAAGUGAUAGCUUGCUGUUAUGGAGCCUAGUGGCAAACGGGUGAGUAACGCGUAGGCAACCUGCCCUUCAGAUGGGGACAACACCUCGAAAGGGGUGCUAAUACCGAAUGACGUUUCCUGGUCGCAUGACCUGGAAACCAAAGGCCGGGCAACCGGUCACUGAAGGAUGGGCCUGCGUCUGAUUAGCUUGUUGGCGGGUAACGGCCCACCAAGGCGACGAUCGGUAGGGCUCGUGAGAGGAGGGUCCCCCACACUUGGAACUGAGACACGGUCCAAACUCCUACGGGAGGCAGCAGUGAGGAAUA
Molecule: ribosomal RNA, 350 nt
Filed under: uncultured bacterium
Lineage: Bacteria
Description: bacterial SSU rRNA
Rfam family: Bacterial small subunit ribosomal RNA
Source: RNAcentral